Molecule: long non-coding RNA, 1166 nt
Organism: Betta splendens (Siamese fighting fish)
Lineage: Eukaryota; Metazoa; Chordata; Actinopteri; Anabantiformes; Osphronemidae
Exons: 3
Source: RefSeq, a predicted model, not a curated record
GGAGGAAUCCGACUCCUCCGGACCGCCUCGCGGCCGCAGCGGACACAUCAGCACGUCAGCGACGCUCUUUGUUUGUGUGUGUCAUUUUAGCGCUAUUUCCAGCGCCGUUGCCGAAGGACAAAGGGGCAGUUAUGUUACAAACCCAGAGCUCCAUUCAUUCAGCUCGGCUGGCUGAUAGACAAGGCCCCGCGGAUGAAAAGCUCACAUCAGCCAACACAAGAGCGCAGCAAUGAAAGAGAUGGAGCAGAUGGCUGGAAAGUCCACACACGUGGGCUAGAGAUCACCUGUCCUGCACCCAAAGUUAUUAAGGAAGAGGAACUUCAUGUUAAAGCAGGCAAGUGUCUAUAGCCAGGGUAACCAUGGUAACUAGGGUGGAGGAUGAAAAUGAGCUGGAGACAGGCCAGGGUCCUGAGUCCUGCUCCUAAAAGAUAUUACAUCAGUUGAAUAAAAAGCUUUUUUCUGGGUACAAAUGUGCUCAUUUCGCAUACCUUUGUCUGCUUCCUUUCCUGUAAAGGUACGACUACAUAUGCUGACUCUAUUUGACUGCGUCUGAUCCCAUACACACGUCGCUUCGGCCUCCAUUCAAACACUGACCAUCUGAGCAAACGUUUGUGGCGGAAGCUCUCAACAAUAAACCUGUGUCACAGUCACAAUCACUUAAACAACUUAUUUUUUAUCUAAAACUAAUGAAAGCCUGCUCAGAGUUUGCAUAAAUGCCACAGAGCAUGACUGGUUCUACUGUAAUUAUUAUUAAUUCUGCAGCUGUUGCAGUGCAGCCUUCCUCCAGCAGAGGUCAGUCUUUACACAGAUUUAAACCUGAGGUUUAAUCCAGCUGUGAUUUAUUUUAUUCCCUAAUAGGUUUUGUAAGCUGGCCACCUUCAGGAGACUGCAAAUAGUGCACAGACUCUUCAGCGGUUGGUGAAAAUGAGGAGGCAGGCCCUCACUCCCUUAAACAUCCAUCUGGAUGGGAAUAAUUGACACCAUCGGGUGAGGAUGAGGGAAUAUGAGCUCCACUAGUGAUAUUCCUCAGCGAGCUCCAGGUUGGUGAGGACAGAAGAUGGCAGAAGUAGGAAAUGGGUCUGUGUGUGUGUGUGUGUGUGUGUGUGUGUGUGUGUGUGUCAGUGGGUCAAAGAUGUGACAUACAAAUGUUCCUCCACCUCCACAUU